GACGGGACCCGCACAAGCGGUGGAUGAUGUGAUUAAUUCGAUGCAACGCGAAAACCUUACCUACCCUUGACAUGUCCGGAAUCCCGAAGAGAUUUGGGAGUGCUCGCAAGAGAGCCGGAACACAGGUGCUGCAUGGCUGUCGUCAGCUCGUGUCGUGAGAUGUUGGGUUAAGUCCCGCAACGAGCGCAACCCUUGUCAUUAGUUGCCAUCAUUUGGUUGGGCACUCUAAUGAGACUGCCGGUGACAAACCGGAGGAAGGUGGGGAUGACGUCAAGUCCUCAUGGCCCUUAUGGGUAGGGCUUCACACGUCAUACAAUGGAUGGUACAAAGGGUCGCCAACCCGCGAGGGGGAGCCAAUCCCAUAAAGCCAUUCGUAGUCCGGAUCGCAGUCUGCAACUCGACUGCGUGAAGUCGGAAUCGCUAGUAAUCGUGGAUCAGAAUGUCACGGUGAAUACGUUCCCGGGUCUU
Molecule: ribosomal RNA, 468 nt
Filed under: uncultured Rhodocyclaceae bacterium
Lineage: Bacteria; Pseudomonadati; Pseudomonadota; Betaproteobacteria; Rhodocyclales; Rhodocyclaceae
Description: bacterial SSU rRNA
Rfam family: Bacterial small subunit ribosomal RNA
Source: RNAcentral